CAAUAGCGUAUAUUAAAGUUGUUGCAGUUAAAAAGCUCGUAGUUGGAUUUCUGGUAGGAGUGACCGUUCCGAACUUGAUUGUUCGUAUAUUGUGUUUUCUCCAGCCAUCCUUGUGGAGAACUUUUCUUGCAUUAAUUUGUAGGGAUUGGGACCCGCAUCGUUUACUGUGAAAAAAUUAGAGUGUUUAAAGCAGGCAAUCGCUUGAAUACAUUAGCAUGGAAUAAUAAGAUAGGACUUUGGUACUAUUUUGUUGGUUUGCAUACCAAAUUAAUGAUCAACAGGAACAGUUUGAGGAUAUUCGUAUGAACAUGUCAGAGGUGAAAUUCUUGGAUUUUGAUCAGACGAACUACUGCGAAAGCAUUUAUCAAGGAUGUUUUCAUUAA
This 383-nucleotide ribosomal RNA is filed under the name uncultured eukaryote. RNAcentral's name for it is "partial 18S ribosomal RNA". It matches the Rfam family "Eukaryotic small subunit ribosomal RNA", at positions 592 to 976 of the family's 1831-position model. The record is from RNAcentral.